UAGGGAAUCUUCGGCAAUGGAGGGAACCCUGACCGAGCAACGCCGCGUGAGUGAAGAAGGUUUUCGGAUCGUAAAGCUCUGUUGUUAAGGAAGAACGAGUGUGAGAAUGGAAAGUUCAUGCUGUGACGGUACUUAACCAGAAAGGGACGGCUAACUACGUGCCAGCAGCCGCGGUAAUACGUAGGUCCCGAGCGUUGUCCGGAUUUAUUGGGCGUAAAGCGAGCGCAGGCGGUUAGAAAAGUCUGAAGUGAAAGGCAGUGGCUCAACCAUUGUAGGCUUUGGAAACUGUUUAACUUGAGUGCAGAAGGGGGGAGGGGAAUUCCAUGUGUAGCGGUGAAAUGCGUAGUUAUAUGGAGGAACACCGGGGGCGAAAGCGGCUCUCUGGUCUGUAACUGACGCGGAGGCUCGAAAGCGUGGGGAGCGAACAGG
Molecule: ribosomal RNA, 429 nt
Filed under: Bacteroidota bacterium
Lineage: Bacteria; Pseudomonadati; Bacteroidota
Description: Bacteroidetes bacterium partial 16S ribosomal RNA
Rfam family: Bacterial small subunit ribosomal RNA
Source: RNAcentral